RNAcentral lists this unclassified non-coding RNA (27 nucleotides) under Mus musculus (house mouse). RNAcentral describes it as "oocyte_clustered_small_RNA10904". Lineage: Eukaryota; Metazoa; Chordata; Mammalia; Rodentia; Muridae. The record is from RNAcentral.
UGCCUGGCCUCUCCCUGUUGCUGGAGG